Asparagus officinalis (garden asparagus) is the source of this 448-nucleotide long non-coding RNA. RefSeq lists it as uncharacterized. The transcript is spliced from 2 exons. Lineage: Eukaryota; Viridiplantae; Streptophyta; Magnoliopsida; Asparagales; Asparagaceae. The record is from RefSeq and is a predicted model, not a curated record.
UCAGGUUCAUGGAUGUGAAACCUGCUGGAUAUCAGGGAUGCUGCAUCACUCUGAUACAACGAAGUGUAAACAUAAAAUACGUCAUGUUACAUUAAACGAAAUACAUAUGAAGUUUCCAAACUCGAUUACAAAAAUUGGAGGGGAAUAUGCAAAGAGGGGAGAUAAAUUCAUGGUUACUAAUGAGAUAGCUGUCACACCAGUAUUGCUUAUUUCUGGAAUUGGUGCAAUCAAAAAGCUCAAAGCUCCCUUCGGCAGCUUAGUUGAGAAUUAAAGCUGAACUUGGAGAAGAAGAGGUUUUGAAUAUAUUGAAAGCUUGUCUGAUCUUUUCCAAUCCAUUGUGCCAGUUAUUCUCUCCUAAGGAGAGGACACUCUAAACUACUAAUUAUAUAACUAAUGAAUGUAACAAUUUAUAUAUUUUUUACUUCGACUUAGAGUUCUCUGCCAAUCA